Long non-coding RNA from Lycium ferocissimum, 382 nucleotides. RefSeq lists it as uncharacterized. Lineage: Eukaryota; Viridiplantae; Streptophyta; Magnoliopsida; Solanales; Solanaceae. The transcript is spliced from 3 exons. The record is from RefSeq and is a predicted model, not a curated record.
GCCGCCACGAGGAGAAAACCCUAUCUCCUCGUCACCAUUGCCUAAAACGAAAAAAUGGCAGGUGGGUACAUGCUUUUACAGUCUUGGUUCGAUCGUUUGAGGCAACAAUUAAUGCCUCGUCUCCAAAUCUCACCAAACGCUACCUUAUCAUGGAAAAAACCAUAUGACUUAGAGCAGGAAGGGUCUAAGAUGGGAAGAAAUUCAUAAACAAGAUGUAUAUUUCAAGAAACAGAGUUCAACAUAAGAUAACUUGGCCAAGAUGAAUCUAUUUGAGGAAGGAGAGAAACAGAAGAUGCUUUGCAGGAAAUCAAAAGGAGGAGACAUUCCUUUUUACCUCACUCAAAGAAACAAUAGCAAUUUAUAAUGUGCUAUAAACGGCACU